GAUGAACGCUGGCGGCGUGCCUAAUACAUGCAAGUCGAGCGAACGGACGAGAAGCUUGCUUUUCUGAUGUUAGCGGCGGACGGGUGAGUAACACGUGGAUAACCUACCUAUAAGACUGGGAUAACUUCGGGAAACCGGAGCUAAUACCGGAUAAUAUUAUGAACCGCAUGGCUCAAAAGUGAAAGACGGUCUUGCUGUCACUUAUAGAUGGAUCCGCGCUGCAUUAGCUAGUUGGUAAGGUAACGGCUUACCAAGGCAACGAUGCAUAGCCGACCUGAGAGGGUGAUCGGCCACACUGGAACUGAGACACGGUCCAGACUCCUACGGGAGGCAGCAGUAGGGAAUCUUCCGCAAUGGGCGAAAGCCUGACGGAGCAACGCCGCGUGAGUGAUGAAGGUCUUCGGAUCGUAAAACUCUGUUAUUAGGGAAGAACAUAUGUGUAAGUAACUGUGCACAUCUUGACGGUACCUAAUCAGAAAGCCACGGCUAACUACGUG
Molecule: ribosomal RNA, 497 nt
Filed under: uncultured bacterium
Lineage: Bacteria
Description: partial 16S ribosomal RNA
Rfam family: Bacterial small subunit ribosomal RNA
Source: RNAcentral